This 145-nucleotide unclassified non-coding RNA is filed under the name soil metagenome. Its description in RNAcentral is "partial internal transcribed spacer 1". The record is from RNAcentral.
CCGAGUUUACAACUCCCAAACCCCUGUGAACAUACCAAUUGUUGCCUCUGCGGAUCAGCCGCUCCCGGUAAAACGGGACGGCCCGCCAGAGGACCCCUAAACUCUGUUUCUAUAUGUAACUUCUGAGUAAAACCAUAAAUAAAUC